Molecule: ribosomal RNA, 433 nt
Filed under: uncultured bacterium
Lineage: Bacteria
Description: partial 16S ribosomal RNA
Rfam family: Bacterial small subunit ribosomal RNA
Source: RNAcentral
AACGAACGCUGGCGGCAUGCCUAACACAUGCAAGUCGAACGAAGGCUUCGGCCUUAGUGGCGCACGGGUGCGUAACGCGUGGGAAUCUGCCCUUAGGUUCGGAAUAACAGUUAGAAAUGACUGCUAAUACCGGAUGAUGACGUAAGUCCAAAGAUUUAUCGCCUGAGGAUGAGCCCGCGUAGGAUUAGCUAGUUGGUGUGGUAAAGGCGCACCAAGGCGACGAUCCUUAGCUGGUCUGAGAGGAUGAUCAGCCACACUGGGACUGAGACACGGCCCAGACUCCUACGGGAAGCAGCAGUGGGGAAUAUUGGACAAUGGGCGCAAGCCUGAUCCAGCAAUGUCGCGUGAGUGAUGAAGGCCUUAGGGUUGUAAAGCUCUUUUACCCGUGAUGAUAAUGACAGUAGCGGGAGAAUAAGCCCCGGCUAACUCCGUG